AGAUUGAUUCAUCACACCACAUGAAUAACAUUGAUAUCAUUAAUUAAAAUAUGAUUAUAAUAUAAUUGGUUUAAAAUAAACUGACCAUGGUACUUCCACCUGCCCUGCUUCUUCUCUGUGUUUUUCCUCUUUCAAGUGGUACAGGUCGACUAAGAAAAUUCUACUUAAAUGAAACACAAAUGCAGAUAAAUGAUGCACUGAAUGCUUGUAGACAUAACUACACUGUCCUCGUCACAAUCUAUGAAGAUAACGACAAUGCAAUGCUAGCUAAAAUGAUACUGAAUGGACGUAUGUAUUGUGAAUGGAUUGGAGCCAAAAGCUGUACAUGGUCAAACGGUGAUCCAGUCACAUUCAACAACAUCACCAGAAAUUUUACUGAGGAAAGCUGCUGUGGUGCACUAACCACUGAUGGAACAUGGGAGUAUUUCAACUGUAGUUCAGAAAUGUACUUCAUGUGUUAUAAACAAGAAUCAUUAAACUAUAGUUUAAUCCCUGAAAAUAAAACCUGGUUUGAGGCUCAGCGGCACUGCAAAAUGAAUCACUCAGAUUUAGUCAGCAUCAGAAAUCAGGGGGAAAACGAGCAAGUGAAGGAAGCAGUAAAUGGGAGUAACUCUAUCUGGAUUGGCCUUCAGUAUAAUUACAGCCUUGCAUGGUUUGAUGGUGGAUAUUCUGAAUAUGUAAAAAUACAGACUGUGAGAGGAGAAACUAACAUUGCUGGAUGCUUUACAUUUCUCUCAAAACAACUACCGGAAUCUUGGUCCAAAACUAAUCUGAAUACAUGUGGUGCUCUUUGCUACAGUAGGUUAAGACAAUAUUUUAUGCUUCAAAGCCUACCGUAUGCUUGAAUAAAUCAAAGCAUGUAAAUAAUAAAAAAAAAAUGUCUUUUCUUCUCUUCAGAGAGCUUCAUUCAUGUCAGUUCUUAUAAAAUGUACUGGGAGGAAGCUUUCGAUUAUUGCAAGAGCAAAAAUCAUGGACUACUGCGCAUUGAGUCAGAGGAUGAUCAGAUAGAAACAGAGAGAGAAAUAAACAGAAAAAAUAUUUCAGAGCCAGUGUGGGUGGGGCUUAGACAGAGUCGACUUUUUGGAUUCUGGAUCUGGUACAAUGGGCUCAGUGUGGGCA
Molecule: long non-coding RNA, 1119 nt
Organism: Carassius carassius (crucian carp)
Lineage: Eukaryota; Metazoa; Chordata; Actinopteri; Cypriniformes; Cyprinidae
Exons: 3
Source: RefSeq, a predicted model, not a curated record